RNAcentral lists this ribosomal RNA (497 nucleotides) under uncultured bacterium. Its description in RNAcentral is "partial 16S ribosomal RNA". It matches the Rfam family "Bacterial small subunit ribosomal RNA", at positions 28 to 507 of the family's 1533-position model. The record is from RNAcentral.
GACGAACGCUGGCGGCGUGCCUAAUACAUGCAAGUAGAACGCUGAAGAGAGGAGCUUGCUCUUCUUGGAUGAGUUGCGAACGGGUGAGUAACGCGUAGGUAACCUGCCUUGUAGCGGGGGAUAACUAUUGGAAACGAUAGCUAAUACCGCAUAACAAUGGAUGACACAUGUCAUUUAUUUGAAAGGGGCAAUUGCCCCACUACAAGAUGGACCUGCGUUGUAUUAGCUAGUAGGUGAGGUAAUGGCUCACCUAGGCGACGAUACAUAGCCGACCUGAGAGGGUGAUCGGCCACACUGGGACUGAGACACGGCCCAGACUCCUACGGGAGGCAGCAGUAGGGAAUCUUCGGCAAUGGGGGCAACCCUGACCGAGCAACGCCGCGUGAGUGAAGAAGGGUUUCGGAUCGUAAAGCUCUGUUGUAAGUCAAGAACGGGUGUGAGAGUGGAAAGUUCACACUGUGACGGUAGCUUACCAGAAAGGGACGGCUAACUACGUG